This 850-nucleotide small RNA is filed under the name Pongo abelii (Sumatran orangutan). RNAcentral describes it as "retained intron". Lineage: Eukaryota; Metazoa; Chordata; Mammalia; Primates; Hominidae. The record is from RNAcentral.
UCCAAGGACAGCCUUCCCAGAAGAGCUAGAGGUCAUGGGGGUGUCAUGGAUAGGUCAAUGGCCCCAAGGAAAUGAGCUCAGAGGGUCUCAUCAUCUCAUCCUUCUAGCUUGCCCCCACUAAGUGGUGUGCCUUAAUGUCCCGGGUUUUCCAGGGCUGACACCCACUCUCAUGUAUUGGGCUGCGUGUUGGUUUGAAAAGGGGUUAUUUCAGGAAGGUGCUAGGUCCUGUCCAGUUCCCUGGCAGUGCCCCCACACAGAGUGACUGGGGGAGGUCAGGAAAUCAGAAGGUGGUCCUUUGCCACGUGUAGAACCAAAAGACUGGUUAGUCACUUUGGGUGGGCUGGACUGCACCGUGGAUGGCAGGGAGGAUGCAUCCUUGCUUAGUGGCCUUUUGGAUUGUAGCUGUUGCAAUGGCCUGAGGCUUUCAAUCUCUUCCCCAGACCAAGAUACUUGGUAGUGACCGGGUGAAGCUGAUGGAGAGUCUAGUGGUUGGAGACAUUGCAGAGCUAAGACCAAACCAGGGGACACUGUCGCUGUUUACCAACGAGGCUGGAGGCAUCUUAGAUGACUUGAUUGUAACCAGUACUUCUGAGGGCCACCUGUAUGUGGUGUCCAACGCUGGCUGCUGGGAGAAAGAUUUGGCCCUCAUGCAGGACAAGGUCAGGGAGCUUCAGAACCAGGGCAGAGAUGUGGGCCUGGAGGUGUUGGAUAAUGCCCUGCUAGCUCUGCAAGGCCCCACUGCAGCCCAGGUACUACAGGCCGGCGUGGCAGAUGACCUGAGGAAACUGCCCUUCAUGACCAGUGCUGUGAUGGAGGUGUUUGGCGUGUCUGGCUGCCGUGUGACCCGCUG